RNAcentral lists this long non-coding RNA (265 nucleotides) under Bos indicus x Bos taurus (hybrid cattle). RNAcentral describes it as "lncRNA (ENSBIXG00000021531.1)". Lineage: Eukaryota; Metazoa; Chordata; Mammalia; Artiodactyla; Bovidae. The record is from RNAcentral.
CAUGAGUCUUCCCAAGUCCCCAAAGACCCUAUGUGGGGACUCCCCUGGAGUCAGACAUUUUGAGGGUGAGUGGGAAAAAUUACAUUUUCAUUCUUCUGUGCCUCCUCUAACAGCAAAAAUGAAUAUCUACUUCCAUUUUCCUGGCCCACCCGUGUCCUAUUGUGGAGAAAAGUGCUUCUCUCUGCUCUCAGAAGAAAACAGAAAUUGAGCUGAACAUCAUAAUGAAGAAAAUAAAGACAGGAAGAGAAAAGGCGGAAGGUGGUAC